RNAcentral lists this ribosomal RNA (292 nucleotides) under uncultured prokaryote. Its description in RNAcentral is "partial 16S ribosomal RNA". It matches the Rfam family "Bacterial small subunit ribosomal RNA", at positions 505 to 796 of the family's 1533-position model. The record is from RNAcentral.
GUGCCAGCAGCCGCGGUAAUACGUAGGUGGCGAGCGUUGUUCGGAUUCAUUGGGCGUAAAGGGUUCGCAGGGGGUCGAUUAAGUCUGAUGUGAAAUCCCUGAGCUCAACUCAGGAACUGCAUUGGAGACUGGUUGACUAGAGCAUCGGAGAGGAGAUUGGAAUUCCAGGUGUAGCGGUGGAAUGCGUAGAUAUCUGGAAGAACACCGAAAGCGAAGGCAGAUCUCUGGACGAUCGCUGACCCUCAGGAACGAAAGCGUGGGGAGCAAACAGGAUUAGAUACCCUGGUAGUCC